AAGGUUAUCCUCAGCCAGAAUUCUCCAGUAACGGCAUGUCUGUGCUGCCUGCAGAAGGUCCUUGGGUUCCAGGAAUGAAAGCACGUAUAGUGCCAACUGUAAAGAGGAAGACCAAAUGUGUCAUGUUUCCUGUGGGCCUGGUCUCUGGUGAUGUGGAAAGCAGGAGUUCACAGGUCUCAACUGUAAAGUAUGUACCAAUAAUUUGCAUAAACUGAUGAAGAUUAAAGACUGAUAAGAACAGGUUUAUUUCUUUACUUGUUAUUUCAGUGUAAACAAAAGCUAAUACAGAACACAGUUGUCUUUUAAGGACAUUCAGCUAAUGCAAAUAACCCAAUGGGGUUUUUUUUAAUGGGUGCAAACAAACCCCAGGUUCAUCAGAUCUGUGAGUCUUUCCUUCUAACAACAAGGAGAACACAAAGAAACACUGAGAUGCAAGAAUUAAAUCAUUGUACCUAAACAAUAUUAAAUAUAAUAUGAUCAAACGACUCAAAAAGUCAUAAGACUGUCCUAUAUUAUUUAUGAAAAGGGUUUUUUCCUGUAUAUAAACUCAACCUUCUGAAUUCCAAUGGAAAGAAGACUUAGAAAAGUCAUGCUUUUAAGUUAAUCCAUGAUACUUCUAAAAUCAAUGACUUUUCUAUCUAAUUCUAUUCACCCCUGUGCAGAGGGCCAGCAAAAAGCCAAUCCAACACUUCAGUUCCAAAAUAAGCCUCUGUGAAUUAAGCUUAUGUGGAAUUUAACUGGUGCAUAAGUCUUGUACUGGUCCUGUGCACAGGAGCUGAAUUCUACCCUUGGUGUGGGUGAACAAGCAAAGGCUAUCUGUGUUUCUGAGAGACACUAUUUUCACAUCUUCUCAACUGUCAUCAGUAGGACCAAAUAUGGUCAAUUUCUCUAGAAGGUAAGUAUCUACAGAGGCUAGCUUUUGAAUGUUGGUGAUAAAAUGGGCUAGAAAAUUAGAAACUUGUUCUAAACAGCAUGAAAUAUAAAAGCUGUCU
This is a long non-coding RNA of Chelonia mydas (Green sea turtle), 992 nucleotides long. RefSeq lists it as uncharacterized. The record is from RefSeq and is a predicted model, not a curated record. Lineage: Eukaryota; Metazoa; Chordata; Testudines; Cheloniidae. The transcript is spliced from 3 exons.